This 448-nucleotide ribosomal RNA is filed under the name uncultured bacterium. RNAcentral describes it as "partial 16S ribosomal RNA". It matches the Rfam family "Bacterial small subunit ribosomal RNA", at positions 330 to 793 of the family's 1533-position model. The record is from RNAcentral.
CCCAGACUCCUACGGGAGGCAGCAGUGGGGGAUAUUGCACAAUGGGGGGAACCCUGAUGCAGCGACGCCGCGUGGGUGAAGGAGCGUUUCGGCGCGUAAAGCCCUAUCGGCAGGGAAGAAGGAGGACGGUACCUGACUAAGAAGCCCCGGCUAACUACGUGCCAGCAGCCGCGGUAAUACGUAGGGGGCAAGCGUUAUCCGGAUUUACUGGGUGUAAAGGGGGCGCAGACGGCAGCGCAAGCCAGGAGUGAAAGCCCGGGGCCCAACCCCGGGACUGCUCUUGGAACUGCGCGGCUGGAGUGCAGGAGGGGCAGGCGGAAUUCCUGGUGUAGCGGUGAAAUGCGUAGAUAUCAGGAGGAACACCGGUGGCGAAGGCGGCCUGCUGGACUGCGACUGACGUUGAGGCCCGAAAGCGUGGGGAGCAAACAGGAUUAGAUACCCUUGUACG